This is a long non-coding RNA of Vicia villosa (hairy vetch), 496 nucleotides long. RefSeq lists it as uncharacterized. The transcript is spliced from 3 exons. The record is from RefSeq and is a predicted model, not a curated record. Lineage: Eukaryota; Viridiplantae; Streptophyta; Magnoliopsida; Fabales; Fabaceae.
UUUUUCUUUUCUUUCCUAAAAGCAUUUGCUUGAUGAGUAUAUAACAAGAUCAUAUACCAAGAAACCAAACCCUUCAUUCCAACCCAAAUAUUUUUGAGCUAAGAGUUUUGUUGCAAAGAUGAGUGAGAUCAAAUAUGGCUAUCCAUAUCCUGCUCAAGGCCCAUAUCAGGGACCACCUCCGGUGGCGGCACCACCGCAAUAUUAUGCUGCUCCACCGCCGCCGCCACCACCUAAAAGACAACCGGGUUUUCUUGAAGGAUGCCUUGCAGCCUUAUGUUGCUGUUGCCUCUUGGAUGAGUGCUGCUGUGAUCCAACUAUAAUUUUUGCGGGUUAAUCUACUUCAACAAACUGGGAAAGUUGUAACUUAUUUUAAUUUUUAAAAAAUUUAAAAUUGUUUGGUGCAUAUAUUCUAUAGGUUGUAUGAGAAAGAAACCAGUGUUUGCUAUAUUAUAUGGUAUUGUACAUUUAUUAUCUGAAAUGGAAUUCCCCUUGAUUA